GACAGAGGGGGCAAGCGUUGCUCGGAAUUACUGGGCGUAAAGGGCGCGUAGGCGGGCUGGCAAGUCGGUCGUGAAAUCCCUCGGCUCAACCGAGGAACGUCGAUCGAUACUGCUGUUCUUGAGGAUUGCAGAGGAGACUGGAAUUCCCGGUGUAGCGGUGAAAUGUGUAGAGAUCGGGAGGAACACCGGUGGCGAAGGCGGGUCUCUGGGCAAUUCCUGACGCUGAGGCACGAAAGCCAGGGGAGCAAACGGG
Molecule: ribosomal RNA, 253 nt
Filed under: uncultured bacterium
Lineage: Bacteria
Description: partial 16S ribosomal RNA
Rfam family: Bacterial small subunit ribosomal RNA
Source: RNAcentral